AGCGAACGCUGGCGGCAGGCCUAACACAUGCAAGUCGAACGAACCUUUCGGGGUUAGUGGCGGACGGGUGAGUAACACGUUGGAACGUGCCUUUAGGUUCGGAAUAACUCAGGGAAACUUGUGCUAAUACCGAAUGUGCCCUUCCGUGGGAAGAUUUAUCGCCUUUAGAGCGGCCCGCGUCUGAUUAGCUAGUUGGUUGAGGUAAUGGCUCACCAAGGCGACGAUCAGUAGCUGGUCUGAGAGGAUGAUCAGCCACAUUGGGACUGAGACACGGCCCAAACUCCUACGGGAGGCAGCAGUGGGGGAUCUUGCGAAAUGGGCGAAAGGCUGACGGAGCCAUGACGGGUGAAUGAUGAAGGUCUGAGGAUUGUAAAAUUAUUUCAUCGGGGACGAUAAUGACGGUACCCGGAGAAGAAGCCCCGGCUAACUUCGUG
RNAcentral lists this ribosomal RNA (434 nucleotides) under uncultured bacterium. RNAcentral's name for it is "partial 16S ribosomal RNA". It matches the Rfam family "Bacterial small subunit ribosomal RNA", at positions 29 to 507 of the family's 1533-position model. The record is from RNAcentral.